CCUACGGGGGGCAGCAGUGGGGAAUAUUGGGCAAUGGGCGCAAGCCUGACCCAGCAACGCCGCGUGAAGGAAGAAGGCUUUCGGGUUGUAAACUUCUUUUCUCAGGGACGAAGCAAGUGACGGUACCUGAGGAAUAAGCCACGGCUACCUACGUGCCAGCAGCCUCGGUAAUACGUAGGUGGCAAGCGUUAUCCGGAUUUACUGGGUGUAAAGGGCGUGUAGGCGGGGAAGCAAGUCAGAUGUGAAAACCAUGGGCUCAACCUGUGGCCUGCAUUUGAAACUGUUUUUCUUGAGUACUGGAGAGGCAGACGGAAUUCCUAGUGUAGCGGUGAAAUGCGUAGAGAUUAGGAGGAACACCAGUGGCGAAGGCGGUCUGCUGGACAGCAACUGACGCUGAGGCGCGAAAGCGUGGGGAGCAAACAGGAUUAGAUACCCGGGUAGUC
Molecule: ribosomal RNA, 443 nt
Filed under: uncultured bacterium
Lineage: Bacteria
Description: partial 16S ribosomal RNA
Rfam family: Bacterial small subunit ribosomal RNA
Source: RNAcentral